GGUGCUGCAUGGCGUGUCGUCAGCUCGUGUCGUGAGAUGUUGGGUUAAGUCCGUAACGAGCGCAACCCUUGUCCUUAGUUACCAGCACGUUAUGGUGGGCACUCUAAGGAGACUGCCGGUGACAACCGGAGGAAGGUGGGGAGUGACGUCAAGUCAUCAUGGCCCUUACGGCCUGGGCUACACACGUGCUACAAUGGUCGGUACAAAGGGUUGCCAAGCCGCGAGGUGGAGCUAAUCCCAUAAAACCGAUCGUAGUCCGGAUCGCAGUCUGCAACUCGACUGCGUGAAGUCGGAAUCGCUAGUAAUCGUGAAUCAGAAUGUCACGGUGAAUACGUUCCCGGGCCUU
Molecule: ribosomal RNA, 346 nt
Filed under: uncultured Pseudomonas sp.
Lineage: Bacteria; Pseudomonadati; Pseudomonadota; Gammaproteobacteria; Pseudomonadales; Pseudomonadaceae
Description: bacterial SSU rRNA
Rfam family: Bacterial small subunit ribosomal RNA
Source: RNAcentral